RNAcentral lists this ribosomal RNA (497 nucleotides) under uncultured bacterium. RNAcentral describes it as "partial 16S ribosomal RNA". It matches the Rfam family "Bacterial small subunit ribosomal RNA", at positions 28 to 507 of the family's 1533-position model. The record is from RNAcentral.
GAUGAACGCUGGCGGCGUGCCUAAUACAUGCAAGUCGAGCGAACGGACGAGAAGCUUGCUUCUCUGACGUUAGCGGCGGACGGGUGAGUAACACGUGGAUAACCUACCUAUAAGACUGGGAUAACUUCGGGAAACCGGAGCUAAUACCGGAUAAUAUAUUGAACCGCAUGGUUCAAUAGUGAAAGACGGUCUUGCUGUCACUUAUAGAUGGAUCCGCGCUGCAUUAGCUAGUUGGUAAGGUAACGGCUUACCAAGGCAACGAUGCGUAGCCGACCUGAGAGGGUGAUCGGCCACACUGGAACUGAGACACGGUCCAGACUCCUACGGGAGGCAGCAGUAGGGAAUCUUCCGCAAUGGGCGAAAGCCUGACGGAGCAACGCCGCGUGAGUGAUGAAGGUCUUCGGAUCGUAAAACUCUGUUAUUAGGGAAGAACAUAUGUGUAAGUAACUGUGCACAUCUUGACGGUACCUAAUCAGAAAGCCACGGCUAACUACGUG